CAGCAGCCGCGGGAAUACGUAGGUGGCAAGCGUUGUCCGGAAUUAUUGGGCGUAAAGGGCUCGCAGGCGGUUUCUUAAGUCUGAUGUGAAAGCCCCCGGCUCAACCGGGGAGGGUCAUUGGAAACUGGGAAACUUGAGUGCAGAAGAGGAGAGUGGAAUUCCACGUGUAGCGGUGAAAUGCGUAGAGAUGUGGAGGAACACCAGUGGCGAAGGCGACUCUCUGGUCUGUAACUGACGCUGAGGAGCGAAAGCGUGGGGAGCGAACAGGAUUAGAUACCCCAGUAGUCCCUGUCUCUUAUAC
RNAcentral lists this ribosomal RNA (301 nucleotides) under uncultured bacterium. RNAcentral's name for it is "partial 16S ribosomal RNA". It matches the Rfam family "Bacterial small subunit ribosomal RNA", at positions 509 to 807 of the family's 1533-position model. The record is from RNAcentral.